This 1554-nucleotide ribosomal RNA is filed under the name Triticum aestivum (bread wheat). RNAcentral describes it as "partial small subunit ribosomal RNA". The record is from RNAcentral. Lineage: Eukaryota; Viridiplantae; Streptophyta; Magnoliopsida; Poales; Poaceae.
AUGGCGUCUUCGACGUCCACCCUAGAGAUCGAGGCUCGCGACGUGGUGAAGAUAAUGCUGCAGUUCUGCAAGGAAAACUCGCUUCAUCAGACGUUCCAGACCCUGCAGAACGAGUGCCAGGUCUCGCUCAACACGGUGGACAGCAUGGACACCUUCAUUGCCGACAUUAAUGCUGGGCGCUGGGAUGCCGUGCUGCCGCAGGUUGCCCAGCUGAAGCUGCCGCGCAAGAAGCUCGAGGACCUCUACGAGCAGAUUGUGCUGGAGAUGGCAGAGCUCCGUGAGCUUGACACGGCCCGUGCAAUCCUUCGCCAGACACAAGUGAUGGGGGUCAUGAAACAGGAGGAACCCGAACGAUACCUCCGACUAGAGCACCUCCUUGUCCGGACAUACUUUGACCCGAAUGAGGCUUACCAAGAAUCUACCAAGGAAAAGCGACGUGCGCAGAUUGCCCAAGCAAUUGCUUCUGAAGUUUCAGUAGUCCCACCAGCUCGGCUAAUGGCACUGAUUACCCAGGCUUUGAAAUGGCAACAGCACCAAGGUUUGUUACCCCCUGGCACACAGUUUGAUUUGUUCAGAGGAACCGCUGCAAUGAAGCAAGACGAAGAAGAGGCAUAUCCUACUACUUUGUCACAUCAAAUAAAGUUCGGGAAGAAAACCCACCCUGAGUGUGCUCGAUUCUCACCCGAUGGCCAGUACCUUGUUUCAUGCUCAGUGGAUGGAAUCAUCGAAGUCUGGGAUUAUGUCAGCGGCAAGCUGAAAAAGGAUCUUCAAUAUCAAGCCGAUGAAAGCUUUAUGAUGCAUGAGGAUGCUGUGCUCUGUGUUGAUUUUAGUAGAGAUUCUGAGAUGCUGGCAUCUGGAUCACAGGAUGGAAAAAUUAAGGUUUGGCGUAUACGAACUGGCCAGUGCUUGCGACGCCUCGAGCGUUCACACGCGAAAGGUGUUACAAGUGUUACAUUUUCACGUGAUGGAACUCAGAUACUGAGUACCUCUUUUGACACUACUGCAAGAAUCCAUGGCCUUAAGUCCGGGAAGAUGCUAAAAGAAUUUCGCGGUCAUGACUCCUACGUGAACUAUGCCAUCUUUUCUACUGAUGGCACCCGUGUUAUCACAGCUUCCAGUGACUGUACUGUUAAGGUAUGGGAUGCGAAAACAGCAGACUGUUUGCAAUCAUUCAAGCCUCCUCCUCCUCUGAGGGGAGGAGAUGCAUCUGUUAACUCUGUCCAUUUGUUUCCAAAGAAUAGUGAUCACAUUGUUGUCUGCAAUAAGACUUCGUCAAUAUACAUCAUGACUUUACAAGGACAGGUUGUAAAGAGCUUCUCAUCUGGUAAACGGGAAGGAGGAGAUUUUGUUGCAGCUUCUGUUUCACCAAAAGGAGAAUGGAUAUAUUGUGUUGGUGAAGACAUGAACAUGUAUUGCUUUAGCCAACAGUCCGGUAAACUUGAGCAUCUAAUGAAGGCCCAUGACAAGGAUGUGAUUGGCAUUACUCACCACCCUCACAGGAACUUGGUUGCCACCUAUGCCGAAGAUUGUAUGAUGAAGAUAUGGAAGCCUUAA